UACGGAGGAUCCAAGCGUUAUCCGGAAUCAUUGGGUUUAAAGGGUCCGUAGGCGGUUUUGUAAGUCCGUGGUGAAAGCCCAUCGCUCAACGGUGGAACGGCCAUUGAUACUGCAAGACUUGAAUUAUUGGGAAGUAACUAGAAUAUGUAGUGUAGCGGUGAAAUGCUUAGAGAUUACAUGGAAUACCAAUUGCGAAGGCAGGUUACUACUAAGGGAUUGACGCUGAUGGACGAAAGCGUGGGGAGCGAACAGG
This 253-nucleotide ribosomal RNA is filed under the name uncultured bacterium. RNAcentral describes it as "partial 16S ribosomal RNA". It matches the Rfam family "Bacterial small subunit ribosomal RNA", at positions 524 to 776 of the family's 1533-position model. The record is from RNAcentral.